UUGCAUUCUGCUACAUUUACGUGGUAGCUUACUGUACUACAUUGCACUCUACUGCACUGCUUGGCACCCUCUUAACUGUCUGUCCUGCUGCGCACUGCCUUUGCGCACCUUUCCCAUACCUCGGCUAUAUGAGACACUAACUUUAUCCAAUAGACGAUCGCUUCUUGCGGCGUUUGGUUAUCGUGCGCGCGCACCGUAGGGAAAGGAGGGAAGCAAGGCAGCGGCGGCAGAGCAGGAGUCUAGUACAGUAAGGCAGCGAGGAGGGAAAAGAAGAUUUCCCAUAUGUCGGGAAGAGAGAUUUGAGAGAGGGAGAGAAGUACGGACGGUCGGAGGAGCAGGAGAGAGAAGAAGAGCCAUGAAAAAGGAAGUGAAAGUAGAAGGGAACUAGUAGGAAAAUAGUAGGGAAAUA
This 409-nucleotide long non-coding RNA is filed under the name Schizosaccharomyces pombe (fission yeast). The record is from RNAcentral. Lineage: Eukaryota; Fungi; Ascomycota; Schizosaccharomycetes; Schizosaccharomycetales; Schizosaccharomycetaceae.